GAGCGUNUCCGGAUUUAUUGGGCGUAAAGCGAGCNCAGGCGGUUAGAUAAGUCUGAAGUUAAAGGCUGUGGCUUAACCAUAGUACGCUUUGGAAACUGUUUAACUUGAGUGCAAGAGGGGAGAGUGGAAUUCCAUGUGUAGCGGUGAAAUGCGUAGAUAUAUGGAGGAACACCGGUGGCGAAAGCGGCUCUCUGGCUUGUAACUGACGCUGAGGCUNGAAAGCGUGGGGAGCAAACAGGAUUAGAUAUCCUGGUAGUNCACGCCGUAAACGAUGAGUGCUAGGUGUUAGACCCUUUCCGGGGUUUAGUGCCGCAGCUAACGCAUUAAGCACUCCGCCUGGGGAGUACGACCGCAAGGUUGAAACUCAAAGGAAUUGACGGGGGCCCGCACAAGCGGCGGAGCAUGUGGUUUAAUUCGAAGCAACGCGAAGAACCUUACCAGGUCUUGACAUCCCUCUGACCGCUCUAGAGAUAGAGUUUUCCUUCGGGACAGAGGUGACAGGUGGUGCAUGGUUGUCGUCAGCUCGUGUCGUGAGAUGUUGGGUUANNNNNNNNNANCGAGCGCAACCCCUAUUGUUAGUUGCCAUCAUUUAGUUGGGCACUCUAGCGAGACUGCCGGUAAUAAACCGGAGGAAGGUGGGGAUGACGUCAAAUCAUCAUGCCCCUUAUGACCUGGGCUACACACGUGCUACAAUGGCUGGUACAACGAGUCGCAAGCCCGUGACGGCAAGCUAAUCUCUUAAAGCCAGUCUCAGUUCGGAUUGUAGGCUGCAACUCGCCUACAUGAAGUCGGAAUCGCUAGUAAUCGCGGAUCAGCACGCCGCGGUGAAUACGUUCCCGGGCCU
RNAcentral lists this ribosomal RNA (844 nucleotides) under uncultured bacterium. Its description in RNAcentral is "bacterial SSU rRNA". It matches the Rfam family "Bacterial small subunit ribosomal RNA", at positions 536 to 1381 of the family's 1533-position model. The record is from RNAcentral.